RNAcentral lists this ribosomal RNA (1163 nucleotides) under uncultured bacterium. RNAcentral's name for it is "bacterial SSU rRNA". It matches the Rfam family "Bacterial small subunit ribosomal RNA", at positions 340 to 1496 of the family's 1533-position model. The record is from RNAcentral.
UCAGUGACCCAUCCAAUGGGUAAAAUUGGUACAAUGGACAACGCGUUACCCGACUAGGCGAUAAGAGAAAAGGCCUUAGGGUGUACCUUUGUACAGAGAGCUAGGUUUUGCUAAUUUCUGGAUCCAUGCCGUUACCUAAAGAAUAAGCCCCCGCCUACUACGGACACGCACGGCCGCGGUUAUUUGUUAGGGUGCAAGGCCUUAUUCGGAAUUACUGGGGUAAGCGUGCCGCAGGCGGUUAUGCAAGACAGAGGUGAAAUCCCCGGGUCACACCUUGGAAACUGCCUUUUGUGUCUGCAUGGCUAAGAGUACCGGUAGAAGGGGAAUGGAAUUUCCGCGUGUAGCAGUGAAAUGCGUAAGAUAUGCGGGAGGAACACCGAUGGCGAAGGCAAUCCCCUGGACCUGUACUGACGCUCAUGCACGAAAGCGUGGGGAGGCAAACCAGGAUUAGAUACCUGGUAGUACACGCCGUAAACGAUGUCAACCUGGUUGUUGGGAGGGUUUCUUCUCAGUAAACGUAGCUAACGCGUGAAGUUGACCGCCUGGGGAGUACGGCCGCAAGGUUGAAACUCAAAGGAAUUGACGGGGACCCGCACAAGCGGUGGAUGAUGUGGUUUAAUUCGAUGCAACGCGAAAAACCUUACCUACCCUUGACAUGUCUGGAAUCCUGAAGAGAUUUGGGAGUGCUCGAAAGAGAGCCAGAACACAGGUGCUGCAUGGCCGUCGUCAGCUCGUGUCGUGAGAUGUUGGGUUAAGUCCCGCAACGAGCGCAACCCUUGUCAUUAGUUGCUACGAAAGGGCACUCUAAUGAGACUGCCGGUGACAAACCGGAGGAAGGUGGGGAUGACGUCAGGUCAUCAUGGCCCUUAUGGGUAGGGCUACACACGUCAUACAAUGGCCGGGACAGAGGGCUGCCAACCCGCGAGGGGGAGCUAAUCCCAGAAACCCGGUCGUAGUCCGGAUCGUAGUCUGCAACUCGACUGCGUGAAGUCGGAAUCGCUAGUAAUCGCGGAUCAGCUUGCCGCGGUGAAUACGUUCCCGGGUCUUGUACACACCGCCCGUCACACCAUGGGAGCGGGUUCUGCCAGAAGUAGUUAGCCUAACCGCAAGGGGGGCGAUUACCACGGCAGGGUUCGUGACUGGGGUGAAGUCGGUGAACAAGG